GUUGAAAUCAUUGGCUUGCAUCGAGCUUCCCAAGCUUUUCGUGCGGGUUCGAUUCCCGCCGCCCGCUCCA
RNAcentral lists this transfer RNA (70 nucleotides) under Brevundimonas variabilis. RNAcentral describes it as "tRNA-Gly". The record is from RNAcentral. Lineage: Bacteria; Pseudomonadati; Pseudomonadota; Alphaproteobacteria; Caulobacterales; Caulobacteraceae.